This 460-nucleotide ribosomal RNA is filed under the name uncultured bacterium. RNAcentral describes it as "partial 16S ribosomal RNA". It matches the Rfam family "Bacterial small subunit ribosomal RNA", at positions 338 to 795 of the family's 1533-position model. The record is from RNAcentral.
CCUACGGGAGGCAGCAGUGAGGAAUAUUGGUCAAUGGACGCAAGUCUGAACCAGCCAUGCCGCGUGCAGGAAGACGGCUCUAUGAGUUGUAAACUGCUUUUGUACGAGGGUAAACUCAGAUACGCGUAUCUGCCUGAAAGUAUCGUACGAAUAAGGAUCGGCUAACUCCGUGCCAGCAGCCGCGGUAAUACGGAGGAUUCAAGCGUUAUCCGGAUUUAUUGGGUUUAAAGGGUGCGUAGGCGGUUGGAUAAGUUAGCGGUGAAAUCUCGAGGCUCAACUUCGGAAUUGCCUCUGAUACUGUUGGGCUAGAGAGUAGGUGCGGUAGGCGGAAUGUAUGGUGUAGCGGUGAAAUGCUUAGAGAUCAUACAGAACACCGAUUGCGAAGGCAGCUUACCAAGCUACGUCUGACGUUGAGGCACGAAAGCGUGGGGAGCAAACAGGAUUAGAUACCCCAGUAGUC